This is a non-coding RNA of Fukomys damarensis (Damara mole-rat), 396 nucleotides long. The record is from the annotation of a RefSeq genome assembly. NCBI's taxonomy places the organism in Eukaryota, Metazoa, Chordata, Mammalia, Rodentia, Bathyergidae.
CAGUCAGGACACAGCAUGGACAUGAGGGCCCCGACUCAGCUCCUGGGCCUCCUGCUGCUCUACCUUCCAGGUGUGCUAUGUGACAUCCAGAUGACCCAGUCUGCAUCCUUGCUGUAUGGCUCUGUGGGAGACACAGUCACCAUCGCUUGCAAAGCCAGUGAGGACAUUUACAGCAGUUUAAAUUGGUAUCAGCAGAAACCUGGAAAAGCUCCAACGCUGUUGAUCUAUGCUGCAAGUUAUUUGAAAUCCGGGGUCCCACAGAGGUUCAGUGGCAGUGAAUCUGGGACAGAUUACACUCUCACCAUCAGCAGCCUGGAGCCUGAAGAUGUUGGAACUUAUUACUGUCAACAGAGUUAUGAAACCCCUCCCACAGUAAUACAAGCCAUAGCAUAAACC